UAUAUAUAUGUUUGAUUUAAUUUUUUUGAAAACAUAAAUAAUAAGUUAUAUAUAUAUAUGCUUGAUUUUUUUUUUGAAAACAUAAAUAAUAAGUUUUUUUUAAAAACAUAAAUAAUAAGUUAUUAUGCUGGUUUUUGAAUUAAAAAAAAUAAACUAAUAAAUAUUUGUAAAACGAUUAAGCCCGCAUAUGCGGGCAAGACACCUAGUUUCUCUAAUAGUCUACAACUGUUUUACAUUCUGUUAUUCACUUGCAUUACAUCUAUCAAUAUCUAGCUUAAUUCUAAUACUGAUAUUGGCCAAUGAUUUUAGCCUCUGUUGAUUUGAUCCCAUAAUUCUACACUACACCUUUUAAUUUGUAGAGUAACUUAUUAAAAAAAUCAACAUAUCAGUCAAGUCUUUCAACUGGUACACACACACACACACACACACAUAUAUAUAUAUAUAUAUAUAUAUAUAUAUAAAUACAAAAUGACAUAUUUUUUCCUUAAAUUCUAAUUAUAAUCAUAUAUAUAUAUGUAUAUAUAUUUAUGAAAUUAAAUGAUAUAUGUCACCAUCAUUUUUUCAUUUUAAGCUUAUAAUUUGGCAUAUUCCAGCAAGUGAUUUUCACCCGUUACGCAUAUAAAUUAAUAGAUCUUUAAUUUGUUGCCUAGCUAGUGGUUACUUCAUGAUCUUCUCAAAUUUAUUUUUUGAAAAAGGUUAGGUGAAUGGAUUUAUUAGUAAUUUCUGGACGGAACUCAACUCGUGACCUUCUUUUUUGAAAAUUAUCAACUCGUGACUUUCGUCGCAGAUAUAUCGAAAAUGCUAUCAUUAAAAGAAGUUGACCUAGAAAAACCCAACGGUAAAGUCUUUGUAAAUACUACAGUAAUAAAAUUUUCAUAAACUUCCGAAUCUCCACUGGAUCCUGUAAUUUGUUUUUUUUUUUUUUUGCAUCUCUGUCAGACGUUGCGCAGCCAUGUAUGUGUACGUUGGGUUACGCACCACUUCUGACGUCAUAACACAUCUUUCCUUAUCUUUUAUUAAAUGAAGUAUGAUUAUAUACAACUCGCACACAUAUGAGAACUACGAACAUUACUUACGACUUAAUUUGUCUCAACCCCACAAAUUUUGGAGUCGGAAUUAAGAUUAACUAGGGUUGUUGCGAGGCUGCGACAUGAUAUAAUUUAUGUGAAACUCAACACAUGAAGCAAUAUCAAGGUCUCUAGAGCCCACGAUCAACAUGUACAUGUAAUGAUCAACAUGUACAUGUAAUGUAAUCUGUGUAUGUACGUGGAAAGUUGUUUCAUGAGGCUGUGAUCUUUUAUAUCCAAGUCGUGGGAUGUUGUAACAGUCUCACCGUAAUAAAUGGUUGACUUAACCGCACAUGGAUGGUCUAGUGGUAGAGUGAUCUUGAGAAACUAAGUGAUAUGGAUUCAAAUCAAUCUAACGACAUUAAACUUGUGUGGUCACACAUAUAUAAAACCAUAUUUUAAACUUUAUUUAAAUAUUUAUUCGUAGGUUACACAUUUUCUUUGAAAUUAGUCUAAAUUUUUUUACAGAUGGACCAAAAAUAUAUGAAAUUUCAAAUAUAAGGUUUUACUAUUCAAAACUUUAUAAUUUGAAGUUUUAAAGCCGCUUUUAGAAUACAUAAAACCUUAUAUUAUUUGAGAUUAUAAUGAUGUUCUUGGAGAUGAUGUUCUUAGUUUGCUCAUAUAUAUGGAGGUGCUGUGGUUAACUUUAUCAUAAGCAAUCAGUUUAACACACUUUCACGAUAAUAUUUGUAUGUGAAAAAUCGUAAGUAAAUUUGUCUGAAAUAGAUUUGUGUUAAUAAUUAAAUCGUAUGUACGUAUAUAUCCACAGCUCAAGUUAGAGAUAGAUUUCCAUGGUACUAUUUUCAAACCUUUUGCCGUGAUUGUCCAGGUUUCGGUAUUUGUGCAUAUAGUAUUUUUUUUUUCUUCUUAUUCUUGAACAAACGGUGAAUCGCGCGUCGUAUUAUAUACCAAUGUCAAACUUAAAUUGCUUAAAUCUUAUUGGCUCUGUUGGAUGCAUCAUGCAUGUAUGUAUCACACUGUUAGACGUCAUUACGUGACGUUGUAUUGUGGAAAAUACCCCUCUUAAGACCUGACUUGCGUAACCGCAGCUGUUACGAUUGCAGAAGUUUGCGGAUGUAGGUGAUUGCGGCAGUUUUAAGAGAUUUCUACGAUUGGUACUGCGGUUAAAAAUUGAUGCGUUUGUGGGAUACUUAUGACUGGUAAAUCACCAAAUACAACACUGAUUAAAUAAUAAAUUAACAACAUUUAUAUUGUAUAUAAUUAUAAAAAUAUUAAACAACAUAGUAUUAUAAUACAUAUAAAAAUUAUAUUUAUUAAUUUUAAAAAUUAUAGAAAAUAUUUUUAUUUUUGAAAAUUAUAAUAUAAAUUAAAAUAUAAUAGAUAUAUUUUUGUAUUUCUAUUAUUUCAAUUUAAAAUUUUUAUUUUUAUUUUUGUAUUUAUAUUGUUUUUUUUAAAUAAGUUACCCUCCUCCAACCGUCCGCAAACGCUAGUUGAAAUCAACUUUUGAUUUUAAGAAGUUUAAAGCAGUUUGAAGUGGUUUAGAACGGUUUGAGUGAUUGUUGCAAAACGCCAACAACCGCAAAAGCUGCACUUGCGGAGGGUAGCGGAAAAACCAGUUGUGUCCUUAAAUAAUCAAAUACUUUCUCAACAAACAAACAAAAAAUUAAUAAACUAAAGUAUUUAUCAUAGGAUCAUGAUGUUAUCAACUAUAAUAUUUUUUUGUAACAGAUUUUGGCCUGGAAAUCUUUAUAAUUUGUUUUUCUAAUUUUCUUUUUGGCAAACCGUGAUGGCUAAGCUAAUAAUUGUAAUCAUAGUUGGGUUUUGAAAUUUUAUCUGGUUUUUGCAACGUGUUUAACUUCAUUGCUAUAUUUUUUUGAAAAAAGGCUGAAUUUCAUUGCUAUAUUGUUUAAUUACUAAAGUAUGAUAUGUGAGUAAAUCAAUGAGUAUUUUUUAACCGAGGUUUCUACUUCUGGUAGUAAAGGAUUCAUGGCUAUGAGUUUUGCCAUCCAAAUUCGAAUUCUGGCAACUGAAGAAUUUACAUGUAGAAUCCCAAUACCUGAAACCAAAGACCAUUCACGGUGAUCCACAUGAUGACCAGCAUAAACUAAGUCCUUGGUCAAUUCGAUCUUUAAUUUGGACCAUCUUAAUGGAAUUAGGACAUUAGGUUAUAAAAAAAAGUAUCUUUUCUCGUCUAAAGUGGAGUUGACUGGAUAAAAAAGCUAAGUCACCUUGUCGAAGUCACGUGCUUCCGACAAUGCAUUUAAAACACUAUAAAGGUAAGUCACCUUGUCGAAGUCACGUGCUUCCGACAAUGCAUUUAACACUGUACGGAUAGAAAUUAUAAAUUUGAUUGGAAAGCUUUAUGGAAAGACUUAUCAAAACAAAAACAAAAAAUCUGAUGGAAUAUCAUUACGGCGACGGGCGAGGUGAAACAAGCAAGCUUUUCAACGCUUUAGAGCAUCUCCAAUGUAUUACCCCAAAUUUUACUUUAAAAUUGUGUGAUUCCAAAAUAGAGUUAGGUUUUAUUCCAAUGUAUUACUUUAUUUUUUUACUUCAAACAAAAUAUUUAUUUUUUCAUUUAGUUAAUAAUUAUUAGUAGUACCUUCAACUUAUAAAAAUUUAACAAUUAACCCAACUACUUUAUGUUUACAAAAUUUCCAUAAUAAUAUAUUUUAUUUAAAUUCAAUAUUUAUCAUUAAAAUACAACUAGAGAUUACCUUCCAAUUUUAAUUCGUGCAGAUUUUAUCAUAUGGAAUUUUUCCAAUUCCAAAAUAUUUAUAUGCAUUAAAAGAACAUAAAGAAAAAACAAAGUUUUGUUUUGUAACUUGAAUCAUGUAUUGGGUCUUAUUGUUUGUGCAUAUAUCAAGUUCAACAAGUAUAAAUGUUAUCAAUCAAAAUUUUAACCCACAAGAUUAAAAAACUCAUCUAUUCCGUUUGAAUAAUACUUCACCGAUUUUGGUAGUUUCAAAAAUAAUUUACCGAAUUAAUUAUUAAAUUACUUAUUUAUAUUAUAUUAUAUUUAUUUUAUAUUAUUUACUCUUAGUUUUGACUUUUAUGAGUUUAUGCAUAUUUUGUGUAAACUAUAAAGUAAUCUUUUGCGGAGUAUUAUAUUUUUUCAUGUUAUUAUAUUAUUUUAAGUAUGAAAUAAAAAUUUUAAAAAUUAAAAGGAUCCUUUCAUAAAUAUAAAAAGUUCACCUCCAAAAUAGAGUAAUGGGUAAGAUUACUCUAUAAAUGGAGUAACCCUAGCCAUUACUCCAUUUUGGAGUUGAAUAUAGAGUGGGGUUGGAGAAGAUUUUACUCGAUAAUUGAGUUUACAGUCAAAAAUGGAGUAGGGUUGGAGAUGCCCUUAUGCCCCUUUGGAUCAGAUGAAAGGACUCUUUGUGAUUCUUGUGGUUUAAUUCAAUUAUUGCACUCUGUUUUCACUUAAUUUUUCCGGACUGUAAUAUUUAUAGGAUUAUGCAUUUUGUAAAAUCUUCGCAUCAUUAAUAUGAUAUUUAUUACAGUUUAGAAAAAAAGUGUUGUAGAAAAAGAACAUAUUUUUUUUUUAAAAUCAGUGGUUGGAAACCAAUUAUUCAAUGAAAACAGCAAAAUCUAGACAAAAUAUAGUUGAGUUUCACCAACUAACUAUACCAGUGUAAUGGUAAAAGAGUGUCUAUUAGGUAUUCUAUUACUCAGUAAAGAAAAAAAACAUGGCUAGGUUUCUAUUAAAAUGUUAACAAUGAAGGUGGAGAUGAGUUAAACACAAUUAUAUAAAAAAUAUAAGUGUUUCUCGGUUUGUUACUUGUCUCCUUUCAUGUUGUCUUCCUCGUUGUUGUCUUGCCGUUGAUAGUUUAUGCUCUUUUUGGUUUUCAAAAUAUGGUUUUUGGUGAUCUCACUUAUAUGCUUUAUUUCAUAACUCAAGGAUACCUCCACGGUUUGUUGAUUACGUUUUGAUUUUUUUUUCUCUGUUCUCUCAUUUUGUUGCACUUUUCAUCGAUGUUCGCGUCUCUGGUGACUUUCCCUUCAGCCGUUUUUUAUACUCCAGGUUUUGAUGAUGUUUUCCUCUGUGUAUGCUCUUUGGGCUUGAAAGGUUGUUCCUGGUCUAAAGCUUGAGCUCUGUUUAUCGGUUGUUGACUUCAAUCAUCCCUUCUUUAGGUUGUUUCUCUUCUUUCCCUGCUUCCCUUGGUAUAAGUGUGCGGAGCCACUCUAUUGGAGCUUUGGUCUCUUAUAUUCAGAGCUUUGUGGUUCUUCGCUGGGUGCCUUGUAUGUGCUUGUUUAGUUUGUUAGAUGUUUCUUACCUCUAGUGGUUUUGCUUUUGGUACUUUAAACAUGUGCGUUCAUGCUUUGUGGUGACUUUGGCCUUUCCGUGAGUUUUAUUCUUCUGGCCCAUUUUUUGGCUUUUUGCGUUGGUGCUUGAUCGUGUUCCUUUGUGUUAAGGGGGAUUAUUUUGUUUCAGAUUUUAUCUUUUUACCUUUUUCCGACAUAUGCUUGUUCUAGCCAAAACAUUAUUUGGUGAGAAGAGGUAAGUUAGUCUUCUUUGUUGAUUUCUUUUCAGUUCCGGACCUUUAUUGAGCUUCUAUUAUUGUGGUAUUUUGUUUUUUUCUCUGUAAUUGUGGAGGUUUUAGGUUUGGAUUAUGUGUUAUACUCUAGUUUAUUCUUCUUAGUUUGAUUAUUUUAUAAUUUCUAAUAAUAAAAUAAAUAUAUAAUUUGUAAAUAAAAUAACAGAAAACAGUAAAAAUAAUAAUUAGUGAAUAUUUAUGAUAAUUUGUAGUUGUGAAUAAACUAAAUAUUUAAAAUAUAUUUAUAUUAUUUUACUUAAUUCUUUCAUCUUGAAAUUUUGUGCCAAUAAAAUAUAUUAUCAAACUUAUAGUUAGUGCAAAAAUUAUUAGAUAAUGCACAAUCAGAAAGUAUUGCAUCAAAUUAUUAUAAUCUAAAAAAAAAUACCUAAAAUAUAAAGAGAAAGAAUACAUGGGGGACAUGUGUUGAAAAACCCUCAUGCUACUUAGUAGAAGAGGGAAUAAGCCAACUUUAUAUAUAUAUACAUAUAUAUAUAUAUAUAUAUAUAUAUAUAUAUAUAUUAUAGAUUUUUAAAAAAUAUUUAAAAUGAUUUGAUAUUAUUAAAUUAAUUUUAGAUUAGUCUUACUAUAAACUAUGUAACAGAUUUUAUUUUAUAUAUUUUUAUAAUUCCUUGAUUUUUAUGUUAAUUAAAAAAUAUUUGCACUAUAAACUUUUUUAAAAUAAUAUUCUUUUGUUUUAUUUUUGUUUUUAGCUACAUUAUUAUAUUUUGAAACAAAAGAGACUAUAAAAGUUUCCACUCAAUGACAGGUAGAUGUGAAGUACAUACGUAAAGUUGCGAACUCAAUUUUCCACCAUAAAAUGUUUGCCCUAUUCAAGUGAUUCAAAUGGCAGAACACACACACAUGUGUAUAUAUAUUAUAUUACAAAAAUAAAAAAUGUAUAUAUAUAUAUAUAUAUUACAAAAUGAAAGAAUAGACUGCCUGAAAUGGUACUAUAUAUAUGAAAUGAUAUAUUUCAGCAUCAAUUUUCAUAUUUUAGCUUAUAACUUGGCAUAUUCCUCCAAGUGUUUUUCACCGGAAUUACGCCUAUAAAUUAGCAGAUCUUUAUUUUGUUGCCUUAAGUCAGUGGGUCACUUCCAUGAUUUAAUUUUCCUUUUAGAAAUAAAGUUAGGCGAAUGGAUUAAUUAUAUUAGUAAUUUCUGGACGAAUCUCAUCACUGAUGUUGCAUAUAUAUCGAUAGGGGUUGGCACUUUAUCCGAUAUCCGAAGUGGUACCUGGAUCCGAUCCGAAAAAUCCGAACCGAAAUCUGAACCGAAGUAGCAAAAUAUCCGAACGGGUAUUAAAUUAGGAGAGAUUGGAUAUCCGAACCCGAACGAAUAAUACCUGAACCCGAAUGGAUAUCCAAAGAUAACCGAAUAUAUGCAUAAUUAACCUUAUAUUUCUAGUUUACAUCUCUCAUUUUAUAUAAAAUAUUUAUAUUGAUACUACACAUACUUUAAGUUCAUAUGAUAUACAUACAAUUACGGAAAAUAUGAUUUGCUACUCACUUAAAAUGUUUGUCAAGUUUUUAUUUCAAAAAUUAACAAAAAGUUACAUCCAAAAUUUAAAAAAAAGUAACUAAAUUAAUGCUUUUUUAGUUUUUAAAUGUUGUGUCCAAAUUUAUUAACCAUUCAAUCUAUUAAAAAUAAAUAAUUAGUUAAGUGAAAGAUAUAUUUUUAAAUACAAUAAAUUUGAGAAAUAAAAAUUUUAAUUUUUUUAUUCAAAAUCUAAAUAUCCGAACCCGAUCCGAAAUAACCGAAUCCGAACUAAAAAUACCCGAACCCGACCUGAAGUAUAAAAAUAUCCGAACGGAUUCUACACCUCUAUAUCGAAAUGCCCGAAAAUCCGAAAUACCCGAUCCGAACCCGAACAGAUACCCGAACACCCACCUCUAUAUAUCGAAAUUCUAUCAUUAAAAGAAGUUGACCUAAAAAUUCGAACGGGAAAAGUCUUUGUAAACAGCUUAAUAGUUUAUUUUGUAUGAUUCUAAUACGAGGAAAGAGGCCAAUUUUUUAGCCCUUUUUACAAAAAAGAAAAGAAAAGUCUUUGUAAUAAUAAUAAAAUACUAAAAAAUUUCCAUGAACUUGCGAAUCUCUACUCUAUCCUGUCUUCUUUCGCAUCUCUGUCAGCCACUGCAGUCACAUGUACGUUGCGUAACAAUGUAUCAUGACGUCACGGAGAGAGCUUGGCCUUCAUGAAUCAUGAUAGGUCUUAUCCUAAUGAAUGGAAAUGAUUAUAUACACUGAUUGGCGGAGCCAGAAAAUAUUUAUACCGAAGUCAUAAAAUUAAUUAAAUUAAAAUUUAAUCAAAAUUAAUUUAUUAAUACUAUUUUAAAAGUAUUUGUAACAUAUACUAUUAAACUGUUUGAAUUUUUUAAAAUUAUAUUUGGAAGAAGGUGUUUAAAAAUUAAUUGUUAAAUAAAGUAUUAAAAAGUGGAAAAUAAACAAAAUAAAUUUCAAAACAAGUAAAGAGCUGGAAGAAAAAAAUAUGUUGCAAAAGAAAUACAUUCUCUAUAAUGGAUGUUUUAAAGGUCUAAUGAGAAGCACAUGUAUGGGAAGCUCUCAUGAAAGGUGUUCUUAAAGAUCAAUACACGACCUCACAAAAGCUCAACUGAGGAAUCUAAGCUGACGGACAUCGCUUCAAGAAGAUAAGACACCGUCUUCAAUCAAUCCAAAAGAACUUCGAACUUCAUGAAUGAACGAGAAUCAUUUUUAUUGAUAAUGAUUAGCUUGAAGAUGAAACAACCUAACUGAAAGAAUAUCAAUUUUUUCAUUAACCACGGGAGAAAGAAGAUUUCGAAAGAUCAUAACGAGAGUCAGUGGAGCAAGGAAGGAUAGAAGCAACGAUCGAACCGAGCCGGCGUAACGACGCUAACUAAACCGACGUUUCCCAGAGACGAAGCCGGUGAAGCAGUGCUAUGGAAGCCACCGCUUCCCAGAAGCAGAAGCCCGAUACACGGGAGUCGAAGCCGGAUGAAGACCGGUGAGCAAAAGCUCCACCCCUGUAUACACUGGCACACAGAUGAUCGUGUUUAACUGAAGUAUUAGGCGCAGCGAUCUGAUCCCAAAACAGAGGAGAAUUACGAACGUUGCUUACACUGUUGGAACUAGUGGUGUGGUGUUCAACUCGGGUUUAGGUUCGUUUUUUUUUUUUAAUUUUGGAAUUUCAAUUUAUAAAAAUUAGUUAGCAUAUUAAAAUUAUAGCUACUUUGGUUUAGUUAGGUACUAAAAAAUCAUAAAUAUAUUUAUUAUUUAAAAUAUUUUAUGAGUUUUAGUUUAUAUGGUUAAAAAUCAAAUUUAUUAGAAUACAAAGAUAUUUUCAAUAAAUAAAAGAUAUUUUCAGUGCUAGCGAUUUUAAAUAAAUUUUUUAUCGUACUUAGUUAUUAUAAAAAUAAUGUAGAAAUAUAAAGCUAAUUAUGAUAAUUUCAUAAAAAAAGUUAGUAAUAUCAUAAUAUUAUUACAUAACUAAAAUUUGCCAUAAAUAUCUGUCAACAAAAUUAUAUUUUAUUUAAUUUGUAAAAAUAUACAAAUUUUAACUUAACAAAAAUAUCAAAUUAUUAAAAUCAACAUUUUAAAUAUCAAAAUCAUGUCAAUAAAAUAAAUAUGUAUAUAUAUAUAUAUAUACAUAUGAUCAAUUGUAUUAUAUAAUUUACCUAUAACUAUACUACUGUAUUUUAUUUAACCACAUCUAUGUACUACAGUUUUAGUAAUAACAUCCAUUCGAUUUACUUGGCAUUAUCAAUUUUGAACCACACUUUCUCUAUUUUACUAUUAUUUGGAAGUUUUUUUUUCUCUAAGAGUUAUCAUGUUAAAAAUUAGAUUGGUUAAAAUUAUUGUUACCAUUAAUGAAUAAUUAUGUUUUUAUUAGAUUAGGUAACUAAUUACAGAUUAAUAUAAUAAAAAUUGGGAAGAAGUAAAAAUAUAUUAAAAAGAUAAUUCCUGUAUAUAUAUUUUGUUGUUAUUCGAAAAACAUUCAAUCAUUAAAUUUUAAAAUAAAAUAAAAAAACAAAAGAUGCAUAAUUAAAAAUAAUCAAAUAAAAAUAAUGUUUUAUAUAAUUGAAAAGAGAAUAUUCCAUGAUUUCAAAAUUUUAUUUAUUAUUAAUGAAUAUAGUGUAUAAAGAGAUUUUUCAAAAUAUUUAUAAUAUGUGAGUUUCUAAGUAGUUUAAUGCAAUAACUUAAUCUGUAUGUAUCAUCAGCAGAACCCAAAAACUUCUUAUAAAAAAAAGAAAGCAACUCUAAACGUAAGAAUAUGUUAGCUGGUUUCCAAAACCGACAUUCAAGGUCACAGCCUCACAGGUUCUUGAUUUGUUCAGACUUCAGAACAAGAGAGCUGCAUAGUAACUGUUGUGGCAGAUCAGAGAUCAAUGCUCUCAAGUCAUCGGUACGAAACUUAGGUCACACGAAAUGAGGAAA
This is a long non-coding RNA of Brassica rapa (field mustard), 9975 nucleotides long. RefSeq lists it as uncharacterized. The record is from RefSeq and is a predicted model, not a curated record. Lineage: Eukaryota; Viridiplantae; Streptophyta; Magnoliopsida; Brassicales; Brassicaceae.